GUGCCAGCAGCUGCGGUAAUACGUAGGGUGCGAGCGUUGUCCGGAAUUACUGGGCGUAAAGAGCUCGUAGGUGGUUUGUCGCGUUGUUCGUGAAAUCUCACGGCUUAACUGUGAGCGUGCGGGCGAUACGGGCAGACUAGAGUACUGCAGGGGAGACUGGAAUUCCUGGUGUAGCGGUGGAAUGCGCAGAUAUCAGGAGGAACACCGGUGGCGAAGGCGGGUCUCUGGGCAGUAACUGACGCUGAGGAGCGAAAGCGUGGGGAGCGAACAGGAUUAGAUACCCUGGUAGUCCGCGCCGUAAACGGUGGGUACUAGGUGUGGGUUUCCUUCCCUUGGGAUCCGUGCCGUAGCUAACGCAUUAAGUACCCCGCCU
RNAcentral lists this ribosomal RNA (373 nucleotides) under uncultured Mycobacterium sp. RNAcentral describes it as "bacterial SSU rRNA". It matches the Rfam family "Bacterial small subunit ribosomal RNA", at positions 505 to 874 of the family's 1533-position model. The record is from RNAcentral. Lineage: Bacteria; Bacillati; Actinomycetota; Actinomycetes; Mycobacteriales; Mycobacteriaceae.